GGCAACCCUGACGGAGCAACGCCGCGUGCGGGAAGACGGCCUGUGGGUUGUAAACCGCUUUUCUCAGGGAAGGAGAACUGACGGUACCUGAGGAAUCAGCAUCGGCUAACUCCGUGCCAGCAGCCGCGGUAAUACGGAGGAUGCAAGCGUUAUCCGGAAUUAUUGGGCGUAAAGCGUCCGCAGGCGGCUUUUCAAGUCUGCUGUUAAAGGUCGGGGCUCAACUCCGGUUCGGCAGUGGAAACUGGUGCGCUAGAGGGCGACAGGGGUAGAGGGAAUUCCCAGUGUAGCGGUGGAAUGCGUAGAGAUUGGGAAGAACACCGGUGGCGAAAGCGCUCUACUGGGUCGCACCUGACCCUCAGGGACGAAAGCUAAGGUAGCG
This 379-nucleotide ribosomal RNA is filed under the name uncultured cyanobacterium. Its description in RNAcentral is "bacterial SSU rRNA". It matches the Rfam family "Bacterial small subunit ribosomal RNA", at positions 376 to 770 of the family's 1533-position model. Lineage: Bacteria; Bacillati; Cyanobacteriota. The record is from RNAcentral.